This 440-nucleotide ribosomal RNA is filed under the name uncultured bacterium. RNAcentral describes it as "partial 16S ribosomal RNA". It matches the Rfam family "Bacterial small subunit ribosomal RNA", at positions 338 to 795 of the family's 1533-position model. The record is from RNAcentral.
CCUACGGGAGGCAGCAGUGGGGCAUAUUGCACAAUGGGGGAAACCCUGAUGCAGCGACGCCGCGUGAGUGAAGAAGCGCCUCGGCGCGUAAAGCUCUGUCAGCAGGGACGAUAAUGACGGUACCUGAAGAAGAAGCCCCGGCUAACUACGUGCCAGCAGCCGCGGUAAUACGUAGGGGGCAAGCGUUAUCCGGAUUUACUGGGUGUAAAGGGAGCGUAGACGGCGGGGCAAGUCUGGAGUGAAAGGCCAGGGCCUAACCCUGGGACCGCUGUGGAAACUGGCCAGCUGGAGUGCGGGAGAGGUAAGCGGAAUGCCUAGGGUAGCGGUGAAAUGCGUAGAUAUUAGGAGGAACACCAGUGGCGAAGGCGGCUUACUGGACUGUGACUGACGUUGAGGCUCGAAAGCGUGGGGAGCAAACAGGAUUAGAUACCCUUGUAGUC